CCAGAUCCCAGGCUGAUCCAUCAUCCUCCAGAGAGCAGUGAGACCACCCCAAGAGCUGAGGGACAGCGUGCACCCUCUUCCUGCAGCACAUCUGAGUGGGCUGGUGGCCUCCUGCCUGCUGCAGAGCUGCUUCUGUCAGGAAAACCAGGGUGGAAGCAGUCCAGGGCUGAAUGGAGCAUCAUUCCCCAGCAGCUCAGAGCAGCUGUUGGAGAAGCGAUCAGAAGCAAAGGCAUCGAGGGAGGGCUCUUCCCAUGCAAGUGUCCUCCACAACCCAGCUCAGACCUGCAGAAAUGACCUCAGGAACUCUGGGUUGAGAGAGAAGGAGGAAAAAUGUGACAAGCUCUGCAAUGCCCCUUUGGGAGAAGGGAGCUGA
This 373-nucleotide long non-coding RNA is filed under the name Parus major (Great Tit). RNAcentral describes it as "lncRNA (ENSPMJG00000013938.1)". The record is from RNAcentral. Lineage: Eukaryota; Metazoa; Chordata; Aves; Passeriformes; Paridae.